AUGCCUUACGAGGCGUGGUAUGGGAGGAAGCCCGAUGUACGCUUCCUUCGUACCUUUGGCUACAUUGGGCACGUCAAGACGACGCGCCCACAGCUGAAGAAGCUCGACGACAGGAGCACCCCGAUGGUGUUCAUGGGCUACGAGACGGGCUGUAAGGCGUACAAGAUGUACGACCCCGUCUCAAAGCGUGUGCAUGUCUCGCGCGACGUCAUCUUCGAAGAAGAUGCACGAUGGACUUGGGAGACGUCGGGGGAGUCCCCGGCAAGCAGCUCCUUCACUGUGGAGUACCCGAUGUACUCUACAACCCCGGGAAACAAGACCCCGGGAAGUGCCACCCCGGGAAGCUCGGGAGGUGUGGAUCCGGGAACAACAACCCCGAGAACACCGUCCCCGGGUACGGUGUCGUCGGACACCAUGACGUCAAGCAAUGUGGGUCCUGGGAGGUAG
RNAcentral lists this ribosomal RNA (447 nucleotides) under Triticum aestivum (bread wheat). RNAcentral describes it as "partial small subunit ribosomal RNA". The record is from RNAcentral. Lineage: Eukaryota; Viridiplantae; Streptophyta; Magnoliopsida; Poales; Poaceae.